UGGGUCCUGGCCUCCACCCCACCCUGCUAGCCCUACGCCCCCUAUCCCUGAGUUCCCCUCACUUGUCCCCACUGAACACAAACCCUCCCUCUGUUUUGAAAUUGUCCAUUGCCUGCUAGACUGCGAUCUGCUGGUGAGAGUUUCUUAUGUCAGUCUUCACUCAGGACGAUCUUGCCAGACGGGAGUCGGCCAGUCAGAUUUGCAGAGCAGAGGAGUCAAGCAGCAAGGCAGAAAGAGCAGCAGGUCCAAGACGACUGAGUGGAACCCAAGCCCGCUCUCAGGCUCUGCUGCUGACCAGCACCAGAGGACCGGCCCAUUUGGAACACUCCCAGCCUCAGUUUCCUCAGCUGUAAAAUGGAACACACAGCUCUUUUUCAGGGCUGCUGGGACAAUGAAAUGAGACCCUGAAGUAUGGAAAAAUCCAAUAAUGCAGUGCCUGGCAUGAAGUCAGCACACAAUAAAUUGGUAGCUCUUAUUAUAAUAACUAAUUGCUGUACUGCUGAUUUGAGAAGAUAAAUAUAGAAUCGAAACUCUGGCAGGCAGCAGGAGAACUGGGCUGAGAGAGAGAAGACUUUUUGAGAUUGAUGACUCGAUUGGUCCAACAAGGCCUCUUAAAACUUCCAUUUAUUUUGGUUGCACACUGGAUACUUUCCAUGUUGAUAACUGCUGCGAAUGAUUAAGCAACAAUGGUGUCCUGUGAUGUUCUUGCGGCACAUGUGUGAUUGCAGGAAAUAUAUCUUUUUAUAACUCUGUACUAAGCUACACAAAAUUUAAAUUCCUAACAUCGUAAAACUAAGUGGGCAGAGUGAUGUAAUUGUACAAACUAAUAAACAGGAAAGAAACAACUUUCAGUAUCAUUAAAUACUUAAGUCAUAACUGGAGGGAAAUGGUGUUCUCAUAUCGACAGAAUUGUUUCUAGUAAAUGUUAUUAUCAUAAUGCAACAUCAUGUAGAAAUAUGCACCAAGCAUAAGCAAACAGCUUCGUGGACUUUCACAAAGCGAACAUAGCCUGUUAACCAACGCAGAGAUCAAGAAACGUAACAAUAUGUUAUUCCAGAAGCCCCUUUCUGCCCCUUCCUGGCUCAUUUCCCCUUCCCCUUCUUUCCCUUCUCUCUUCCUCCUCCUUCCUCUUUGAUGUACAAUUUACAAGCCAUAAAAUGCAUCUGCUCUAAGUAUCCAUACUAUCCUUUAGAGCUAGAAGGUUUCCUGAAGGCCCAGAGGUCCAAAAGCCAUAGGGCAAACCUUUCAUAGACUAAAAUCUCCAAAACUCGCAGCUCAAGCCCAGGAUGUCAUAGAUAUUUAUUGCUUAGAUCUAGAGAAGAUUUAAAAAUUAAUCGAUGUAAGGAAAUAUAUUACUAAAACACAGAUAGUACAUGGAUAACAAAAAAAAGAGAGAAAGAUUGUAUGCAAAUGGCCGAAGCUAGUAAAAUCAUAUACUUAGAUCCAGAGAGAGAAACAACUUCUGGGAGCCUGGAAAUUCUCUGCAU
RNAcentral lists this long non-coding RNA (1487 nucleotides) under Fukomys damarensis (Damara mole-rat). RNAcentral describes it as "lncRNA (ENSFDAG00000031141.1)". The record is from RNAcentral. Lineage: Eukaryota; Metazoa; Chordata; Mammalia; Rodentia; Bathyergidae.